RNAcentral lists this ribosomal RNA (373 nucleotides) under uncultured bacterium. RNAcentral's name for it is "bacterial SSU rRNA". It matches the Rfam family "Bacterial small subunit ribosomal RNA", at positions 28 to 416 of the family's 1533-position model. The record is from RNAcentral.
AGCGAACGCUGGCGGCGUGCUUAACACAUGCAAGUCGAGCGAACCUUCGGGUUAGCGGCGAACGGGUGAGUAACACGUGGGCAACCUGCCCCGAGCUCUGGGAUAACCCCGGGAAACCGGGGCUAAUACCGGAUAUGACAUCGACAGACAUCUGUCGUUGUGGAAAGUUUUUCGGCUCGGGAUGGGCCCGCGGCCUAUCAGCUUGUUGGUGGGGUAACGGCCUACCAAGGCGACGACGGGUAGCCGGCCUGAGAGGGCGACCGGCCACACUGGGACUGAGACACGGCCCAGACUCCUACGGGAGGCAGCAGUGGGGAAUAUUGCGCAAUGGGCGAAAGCCUGACGCAGCGACGCCGCGUGAGGGAUGAAGGCC